Molecule: long non-coding RNA, 1556 nt
Filed under: Mytilus galloprovincialis (Mediterranean mussel)
Lineage: Eukaryota; Metazoa; Mollusca; Bivalvia; Mytilida; Mytilidae
Source: RNAcentral
AUUGUUAUGUACAGGGAUGUAUUAUGAUAACCAACUAAACAUCUUUCUAACACAUACCAAAAGGACCAUAUGGUCUUUAACUAUUAACAAAGCGUGUACCAUGUUGUAUUUAUAAACAUUGCAUAAACGUAAAAAUGUGAAUUCAACAUUUGUAUUGCUUGUUUUAUGCUUAAAACAAAAAAACACAUUAGUAGAGGUAUCAACAAAAAACAAAAUAAUCAUGUACUUAGUUUUGACAAGCACAUAAAGAAUGUGAUGAGAUAAGACAAGUGAAUGAGCAAUAAACCUACAUAUUACUAGUGACAGUCACAUACAGUAACGUAACAAUACAACACAACUAACAAAAUGACAAAAGACAAAGAGUGCAGAAAAUCAAAUAAAGAAGAUCAAAUCUAAAUUUAACUCAUAAAAAUCAUGCGGAAGGAAAAGUUAUCAUAUAACAGUUACAUAUCAUUGUUGUGAUUACUGGAUUUUCUUUUUUUCUAUGUGAACUGGAAAAACGAAUAUUUAACAUUUGUAUACUAAAAAGAAGUGAUUGACACUUGAUUAUUAAUGAUUAUACUGUACUAAUGGCUUUGUAUAUAUUAAAUUGCAAUUGUAUAUAAAUUAAAUUGCAAUUGUGUACUAUGUUGAAAAUUUGGAAAAAUGUAACUGAACGUAAACAACAUAUGCAUACCUUUAUUUUGUGUCUUUAAGGGGUCAUGUCAUUUCAGCAUUUUACCACAACACUGAAAUUAAACAAUUGUCGAACUCAAAAACAUUUCUUGUAUAAUUUCAAUAUCAUGAUAUCUUUUCGAAAAUUCAAUUCUGAUUUUAGUAACACUUAGAAUUGUACAAUUUUUGUUACAAAUUCUAAUAUUCAAAUGAGUACUAGACCUAGACAUUAUUUAGAAUUGUAUUGUAGUUGAAUCGUAUGCUGAUCUAAGAAACAAACUGUUAUACAUACUCUAAACCUAUUUUUUUUCGCGAGCGAUUUAUUUUAUUAAUUCGCGAGUAGAAAAAUAACGCAAAUUUAAAUCGUCGCUAAUAUGUAUAACUUGGAUCUUUCCUUAUUUAACUACCGCAAGUAAUAGAAACUCGCGAAAUUAAAUCGCCGCGAAGUGGAUUAGUGAUAUAAACGCGAAAUAAAGUAUCCGCGAAAAUAAUUGGUUAACAGUAACAAAAUGAAACAAAACCUUUAUCGCGAAAAUAACAUUUUUCAUAAGCUGAUAAAUGAUUACGGCAACAUGAGCAAAGGUGAUUAUUUUUUAAUUUGAGUGUUAAAAUAUAUCAGUGAUGAAGUAGGCUGUACCAGAUCAAUGUCACGAAGCAAGAUCAAGUGAAUAUAUUCGUUUUUUUUUUACAUAUACCAAAAAAAAUUGUUCAUAUUAAAGAAAACAAUCAGUUGAAAUCGACGUAAAGUUGUAUAGAUGUUACAAACAAGAACCAUUUAGGAGGGUUUGACUAUCAUUUAAAUCAUCAAGAAAGUGUAGGCAAAAAAGUGAAAAUACACAUGUCUCACUGUUUUAUAGCCACAAAUCAUGCAUUUAGUUGUUUUAGAAUUCACUGUAAUUUUG